AUUGAACGCUGGCGGCAGGCCUAACACAUGCAAGUCGAGCGGAUGAAGGGAGCUUGCUCCUGGAUUCAGCGGCGGACGGGUGAGUAAUGCCUAGGAAUCUGCCUGGUAGUGGGGGAUAACGUCCGGAAACGGGCGCUAAUACCGCAUACGUCCUGAGGGAGCAAGUGGGGGAUCUUCGGACCUCACGCUAUCAGAUGAGCCUAGGUCGGAUUAGCUAGUUGGUGGGGUAAAGGCCUACCAAGGCGACGAUCCGUAACUGGUCUGAGAGGAUGAUCAGUCAGACUGGAACUGAGACACGGUACAGACUCCUACGGGAGGCGGCAGUGGGGAAUAUUGGACAAAGGGCGAAAGCCUGAUCCAGCCAAGCCGCGUAUGUGAAGAAGGUCUUCGGAUUGUAAAGCACUGUAAGUUGGGAGGAAGGGCAGUAAGUUAAUACCUGGCUGUUUUGACGUUACCAACAGAAUAAGCACCGGCUAACUUCGUG
This 484-nucleotide ribosomal RNA is filed under the name uncultured bacterium. RNAcentral describes it as "partial 16S ribosomal RNA". It matches the Rfam family "Bacterial small subunit ribosomal RNA", at positions 30 to 507 of the family's 1533-position model. The record is from RNAcentral.